This 601-nucleotide ribosomal RNA is filed under the name uncultured bacterium. Its description in RNAcentral is "bacterial SSU rRNA". It matches the Rfam family "Bacterial small subunit ribosomal RNA", at positions 338 to 956 of the family's 1533-position model. The record is from RNAcentral.
CCUACGGGAGGCAGCAGUGGGGAAUAUUGCACAAUGGGCGCAAGCCUGAUGCAGCGACGCCGCGUGAGGGAUGACGGCCUUCGGGUUGUAAACCUCUUUCAGUAGGGAAGAAGCGAGAGUGACGGUACCUGCAGAAGAAGCGCCGGCUAACUACGUGCCAGCAGCCGCGGUAAUACGUAGGGCGCAAGCGUUAUCCGGAUUUAUUGGGCGUAAAGAGCUCGUAGGCGGUUUGUCGCGUCUGCCGUGAAAGUCCGAGGCUCAACCUCGGAUCUGCGGUGGGUACGGGCAGACUAGAGUGAUGUAGGGGAGACUGGAAUUCCUGGUGUAGCGGUGAAAUGCGCAGAUAUCAGGAGGAACACCGAUGGCGAAGGCAGGUCUCUGGGCAUUUACUGACGCUGAGGAGCGAAAGCAUGGGGAGCGAACAGGAUUAGAUACCCUGGUAGUCCAUGCCGUAAACGUUGGGCACUAGGUGUGGGGGACAUUCCACGUUUUCCGCGCCGUAGCUAACGCAUUAAGUGCCCGCCUGGGGAGUACGGCCGCAAGGCUAAAACUUCAAAUGAAUUGACGGCGNGNGAGNGCGACGACGACGACGAGGAGGAGG